CACCACAACAGGUGGAGCCUGCGGUUUAAUCGGACUCAACGCCGGGAAACUCACCAGAUAAGACAGCUGAAUGAUAGUCGGGCUGAAGACUCUACUUGACUAGCUGAGAGGAGGUGCAUGGCCGUCGUCAGUUCGUACUGUGAAGCAUCCUGUUAAGUCAGGCAACGAGCGAGACCCACGCCAACAGUUGCCAGCUCGUCCUCCGGGAUGGUGGGGACACUGUUGGGACCGCCUCUGCUAAAGAGGAGGAAGGAAUGGGCAACGGUAGGUCAGCAUGCCCCGAAUUAUCUGGGCUACACGCGGGCUACAAUGGGUGGGACAAUGGGUAUCGACACCGAAAGGUGAAGGCAAUCUCCUAAACCCAUCCGUAGUUCGGAUUGUGGGCUGCAACUCGCCCACAUGAAGCUGGAAUCUGUAGUAAUCGUGUCUCAAAAUGGCACGGUGAAUAUGUCCCUGCUCCUU
RNAcentral lists this ribosomal RNA (462 nucleotides) under uncultured Methanomicrobiales archaeon. Its description in RNAcentral is "bacterial SSU rRNA". It matches the Rfam family "Archaeal small subunit ribosomal RNA", at positions 877 to 1338 of the family's 1478-position model. The record is from RNAcentral. Lineage: Archaea; Methanobacteriati; Methanobacteriota; Methanomicrobia; Methanomicrobiales.